GUGAACGCUGGCGGUAGGCCUAACACAUGCAGGUCGAACGGCAGCACAGUAAGAGCUUGCUCUUACGGGUGGCGAGUGGCGGACGGGUGAGGAAUACAUCGGAAUCUACUUUUUCGUGGGGGAUAACGUAGGGAAACUUACGCUAAUACCGCAUACGACUUACGGGUGAAAGCAGGGGAUCUUCGGACCUUGCGCGAUUGAAUGAGCCGAUGUCGGAUUAGCUAGUUGGCGGGGUAAAGGCCCACCAAGGCGACGAUCCGUAGCUGGUCUGAGAGGAUGAUCAGCCACACUGGAACUGAGACACGGUCCAGACUCCUACGGGAGGCAGCAGUGGGGAAUAUUGGACAAUGGGCGCAAGCCUGAUCCAGCCAUACCGCGUGGGUGAAGAAGGCCUUCGGGUUGUAAAGCCCUUUUGUUGGGAAAGAAAAGCAGCAGGUUAAUACCCCGCUGUUCUGACGGUACCCAAAGAAUAAGCACCGGCUAACUUCGUG
RNAcentral lists this ribosomal RNA (491 nucleotides) under uncultured bacterium. RNAcentral describes it as "partial 16S ribosomal RNA". It matches the Rfam family "Bacterial small subunit ribosomal RNA", at positions 29 to 507 of the family's 1533-position model. The record is from RNAcentral.